UUAAGCGACUAAGCGUACACGGUGGAUGCCCUGGCAGUCAGAGGCGAUGAAGGACGUGCUAAUCUGCGAAAAGCGCCGGCGAGGUGAUAUGAACCUUUGACCCGGCGAUGUCCGAAUGGGGAAACCCAGUGUGUUCCGACACACUAUCGUUAACUGAAUACAUAGGUUAACGAGGCGAACCGGGGGAACUGAAACAUCUAAGUACCCCGAGGAAAAGAAAUCAACCGAGAUUCCCCCAGUAGCGGCGAGCGAACGGGGAGCAGCCCAGAGUCUGAAUCAGCUUGUGUGUUAGUGGAAGCGUCUGGAAAGUCGCACGGUACAGGGUGACAGUCCCGUACACGAAAGCACAGGUUGUGAACUCGAAGAGUAGGGCGGGACACGUGGUAUCCUGUCUGAAUAUGGGGGGACCAUCCUCCAAGGCUAAAUACUCCUGACUGACCGAUAGUGAACCAGUACCGUGAGGGAAAGGCGAAAAGAACCCCGGCGAGGGGAGUGAAAAAGAACCUGAAACCGUGUACGUACAAGCAGUGGGAGCACCUUCGUGGUGUGACUGCGUACCUUUUGUAUAAUGGGUCAGCGACUUAUAUUCUGUAGCAAGGUUAACCGUAUAGGGGAGCCGAAGGGAAACCGAGUCUUAACUGGGCGUUAAGUUGCAGGGUAUAGACCCGAAACCCGGUGAUCUAGCCAUGGGCAGGUUGAAGGUUGGGUAACACUAACUGGAGGACCGAACCGACUAAUGUUGAAAAAUUAGCGGAUGACUUGUGGCUGGGGGUGAAAGGCCAAUCAAACCGGGAGAUAGCUGGUUCUCCCCGAAAGCUAUUUAGGUAGCGCCUCGUGAACUCAUCUUCGGGGGUAGAGCACUGUUUCGGCUAGGGGGCCAUCCCGGCUUACCAACCCGAUGCAAACUACGAAUACCGAAGAAUGUUAUCACGGGAGACACACGGCGGGUGCUAACGUCCGUCGUGAAGAGGGAAACAACCCAGACCGCCAGCUAAGGUCCCAAAGUCAUGGUUAAGUGGGAAACGAUGUGGGAAGGCACAGACAGCCAGGAUGUUGGCUUAGAAGCAGCCAUCAUUUAAAGAAAGCGUAAUAGCUCACUGGUCGAGUCGGCCUGCGCGGAAGAUGUAACGGGGCUAAACCAUGCACCGAAGCUGCGGCAGCGACGCUUAGGCGUUGUUGGGUAGGGGAGCGUUCUGUAAGCCGUUGAAGGUGUGCUGUGAGGCAUGCUGGAGGUAUCAGAAGUGCGAAUGCUGACAUAAGUAACGAUAAAGCGGGUGAAAAGCCCGCUCGCCGGAAGACCAAGGGUUCCUGUCCAACGUUAAUCGGGGCAGGGUGAGUCGACCCCUAAGGCGAGGCCGAAAGGCGUAGUCGAUGGGAAACAGGUUAAUAUUCCUGUACUUGGUGUUACUGCGAAGGGGGGACGGAGAAGGCUAUGUUAGCCGGGCGACGGUUGUCCCGGUUUAAGCAUGUAGGCGGAGGUUCCAGGUAAAUCCGGUACCUUUUAACGCUGAGGUGUGAUGACGAGGCACUACGGUGCUGAAGUAACAAAUGCCCUGCUUCCAGGAAAAGCCUCUAAGCAUCAGGUAACACGAAAUCGUACCCCAAACCGACACAGGUGGUCAGGUAGAGAAUACCAAGGCGCUUGAGAGAACUCGGGUGAAGGAACUAGGCAAAAUGGUGCCGUAACUUCGGGAGAAGGCACGCUGAUAUGUAGGUGAAGCCCCUGCGGGUGGAGCUGAAAUCAGUCGAAGAUACCAGCUGGCUGCAACUGUUUAUUAAAAACACAGCACUGUGCAAACACGAAAGUGGACGUAUACGGUGUGACGCCUGCCCGGUGCCGGAAGGUUAAUUGAUGGGGUUAGCGGCAACGCGAAGCUCUUGAUCGAAGCCCCGGUAAACGGCGGCCGUAACUAUAACGGUCCUAAGGUAGCGAAAUUCCUUGUCGGGUAAGUUCCGACCUGCACGAAUGGCGUAAUGAUGGCCAGGCUGUCUCCACCCGAGACUCAGUGAAAUUGAACUCGCUGUGAAGAUGCAGUGUACCCGCGGCAAGACGGAAAGACCCCGUGAACCUUUACUAUAGCUUGACACUGAACACUGGUCCUUGAUGUGUAGGAUAGGUGGGAGGCUUUGAAGCGUGGACGCCAGUCUGCGUGGAGCCGACCUUGAAAUACCACCCUUUAAUGGCUGGUGUUCUAACGUAGACCCGUAAUCCGGGUUGCGGACAGUGUCUGGUGGGUAGUUUGACUGGGGCGGUCUCCUCCCAAAGAGUAACGGAGGAGCACGAAGGUUAGCUAAUCCUGGUCGGACAUCAGGAGGUUAGUGCAAUGGCAUAAGCUAGCUUGACUGCGAGAGUGACGGCUCGAGCAGGUGCGAAAGCAGGUCAUAGUGAUCCGGUGGUUCUGAAUGGAAGGGCCAUCGCUCAACGGAUAAAAGGUACUCCGGGGAUAACAGGCUGAUACCGCCCAAGAGUUCAUAUCGACGGCGGUGUUUGGCACCUCGAUGUCGGCUCAUCACAUCCUGGGGCUGAAGUAGGUCCCAAGGGUAUGGCUGUUCGCCAUUUAAAGUGGUACGCGAGCUGGGUUUAGAACGUCGUGAGACAGUUCGGUCCCUAUCUGCCGUGGGCGCUGGAGAAUUGAGGGGGGCUGCUCCUAGUACGAGAGGACCGGAGUGGACGCAUCACUGGUGUUCGGGUUGUCAUGCCAAUGGCACUGCCCGGUAGCUAAAUGCGGAAAAGAUAAGUGCUGAAAGCAUCUAAGCACGAAACUUGCCCCGAGAUGAGUUCUCCCUGACCCUUUAAGGGUCCUGAAGGAACGUUGAAGACUACGACGUUGAUAGGUCGGGUGUGUAAGCGCAGCGAUGCGUUGAGCUAACCGAUACUAAUGAACCGUGAGGCUUAACCU
Molecule: ribosomal RNA, 2900 nt
Filed under: Enterobacter asburiae
Lineage: Bacteria; Pseudomonadati; Pseudomonadota; Gammaproteobacteria; Enterobacterales; Enterobacteriaceae
Description: 23S ribosomal RNA
Rfam family: Bacterial large subunit ribosomal RNA
Source: RNAcentral